GCCCGGGUGGCGGAAUUGGCAGACGCGCCAGGUUGAGGGCCUGGUGAGGGUUACACCUCGUGCUGGUUCGAAUCCAGUUCCGGGCA
This 86-nucleotide transfer RNA is filed under the name Planctomycetota bacterium. Its description in RNAcentral is "Planctomycetes bacterium tRNA-Leu". It matches the Rfam family "tRNA". From Rfam's summary of the family: Transfer RNA (tRNA) molecules are approximately 80 nucleotides in length. The record is from RNAcentral. Lineage: Bacteria; Pseudomonadati; Planctomycetota.